UGGGGAAUAUUGGACAAUGGGCGCAAGCCUGAUCCAGCCAUACCGCGUGGGUGAAGAAGGCCUUCGGGUUGUAAAGCCCUUUUGUUGGGAAAGAAAAGCAGCCAGUUAAUACCUGGUUGUUCUGACGGUACCCAAAGAAUAAGCACCGGCUAACUUCGUGCCAGCAGCCGCGGUAAUACGAAGGGUGCAAGCGUUACUCGGAAUUACUGGGCGUAAAGCGUGCGUAGGUGGUUGUUUAAGUCUGUUGUGAAAGCCCUGGGCUCAACCUGGGAAUUGCAGUGGAUACUGGGCGACUAGAGUGUGGUAGAGGGUAGUGGAAUUCCUGGUGUAGCAGUGAAAUGCGUAGAGAUCAGGAGGAACAUCCAUGGCGAAGGCAGCUACCUGGACCAACACUGACACUGAGGCACGAAAGCGUGGGGAGCAAACAGG
Molecule: ribosomal RNA, 429 nt
Filed under: bacterium
Lineage: Bacteria
Also listed under: 2 other names
Description: partial 16S ribosomal RNA
Rfam family: Bacterial small subunit ribosomal RNA
Source: RNAcentral